Molecule: ribosomal RNA, 237 nt
Filed under: uncultured Candidatus Saccharibacteria bacterium
Lineage: Bacteria; Candidatus Saccharimonadota
Description: partial 16S ribosomal RNA
Rfam family: Bacterial small subunit ribosomal RNA
Source: RNAcentral
AUAAGUGAAUAGUGAAUCUGGUGGCUCAACCAUACAGGCUAUUGUUCAAACUGGCAAACUCGAGAGUGGUAGAGGUCACUGGAAUUUCUUGUGUAGGAGUGAAAUCCGUAGAUAUAAGAAGGAACACCGAUGGCGUAGGCAGGUGACUGGACCAUUUCUGACGCUAAAGGCACGAAAGCGUGGGGAGCGAACCGGAUUAGAUACCCGGGUAGUCCACGCCGUAAACGAUGGAUACUA